Molecule: non-coding RNA, 274 nt
Organism: Paramuricea clavata
Lineage: Eukaryota; Metazoa; Cnidaria; Anthozoa; Malacalcyonacea; Plexauridae
Source: the annotation of a GenBank genome assembly
AAAACCCCAUAAAAAUCUCAAGUAAAUCGGUGCAUAAUUCAUUUUAAUUUAAUACGUCCUACACUACAGUAUAUUUCUAUACAUACCAGGGCUGACAUGAAAAAUAGAGGCAUUCUGGCGAGUAAUAUCUUUAGAAAGAUACAAUUUGAGUUGCGCUUGUGGAAUGCAGCAAUAAGUCUUUGAUCUGCAGGAGAUCAAUUUGGUGUUUUGUUAAGCCUAUUUUUCAAAAAUAAUGAAUAAUGAAAAAUUUUAGUGCGGCAGAUAAAUCCCAUGC